UAAAUUCAAGGUACCCGAAACAGCAGAUUCCUCGAUCUUCAGCCAUUAUAGGCUCAUACAGACCGAGUUCGGUUUAGGGGAAUACAUUUCCCUAUGGCUGCACGGAGAUGAAAAUCUCACGAAGACAUAGGUACGGAUGUAUCCCGAAAGUGAUCCACUAUCCUGCACGGAGGUAAAAACCUCACGAAGGAGUAGUUUCUCACUCCCACUUAAAAGGGUAAGACCAAACAGUCUUUAUGCAAUAUGAUGCCAAGAUAUAAAAACACAAUUUACAAUAAUCAUACAAACAUAUGCAAAGAGAGGAUCGUAAUUUUUUUAAAAUCAAUUUUCAAUUUUCGACAAUAAGACAAAAAAACAAUCAAUUUUAUGGCUUGACUCUCUAUGUCCCCAAUGGAGUCGCCAAGCUGUCGAAACCAUUUUUUAGAUUUUAAAAAACGGGGAUCGACUUUAAAAAAAGAAAAUGGGAGUCGCCACCGAUCUUUUAUUGAGGUGUGAUCGGCUCACCUUGAAAAUUAUUUUGGUCUGCGAAAUUUGAGAAAACAUGUUUGGGAGUCGGUUACGCACGAGGAAGGGUUAGCACCCUCGUAACGCCCAAAAUUGGUACCGAAUUGAUUAAUUAAGGUCUUAAUUUCGAAUAUCGAAAAUUCAUGAAGAAUUUAAAAAAAACAUGAUCCUCCCUUUUAUUAAUGUUAAUUUUAUAAAAGAUGCUUGGAUAAAUCGAUGCGGAUGCUAAAGACCUUCUCGUCUUAGAGUAAUAAAAUGUCACACCCAAUUCAUUAGGACACGACAUUUUUAGUCCUCGAGAAUAAGCUUGUCUUUUGAUUUUCAAAACUCUUGCGGUGAAGUUAAAAAGGGAUAUUCAAUUGCUUUAAGUUAGAUGAAAAAUUAAAACCCAAUACGUUAGGGCACAAUUUCUCAAAAUUCCUAGCAUUGAAUAUAGCCCUUGUUAUUUUUUUUAAACCUUCAUUUCGAGAAAACUACAUGUCACAUACAAUACAUUAGGGCACGACGUAUCGAAUUCCCGAAAAUGAGUUUUUGGUUUAUGUGUUUUGAUUGAAUAAAAUUUUUGAUUAUUUAGAUUCAACGAGAAAAAUUGAAACCCAAUACGUUAGGGCUCCAUUCUCUCGAGGAUUCCAAAUUUCGAGUAUUGCGUUAUUUUUGAAAACUUUUGUAUGAAAUAACUUUGACAUUUGUAAUCUUUUGAAUGAAUAAAAAACGAUUGAAUAAUAAUGUACAACAGUACUAAUGAUGAUUUGUAAAUAACAUACACUAAUGAAAUACAAAUAAUCAAUAGGUAAAUACAAGCAAGCAUAGUAACAAUACUCUCAAUCAUACAUUAUGCCAAUGCUAAUAAUAUCGACAUUCAAAGAAUAAACGAAUUAUCAAUACAAAAAAAAUGAGUUAUAUGUGUAAAAUUUUAAAAUAAACAAUAUACAUAUAUGAGUUUAAUAAGUCAAAAAUGAAGAUAAAAAAAUAAAUACUAUAAAAAAAUAAUACCAAAAUGAAGUUUAAAGUGAAUAUUGUAUAUGAAGAAAACCAAAAUACAUGAAAUAAUAUAUAUAUUAAUUUAAAUAAUAUUACACAUGGAUUGGAAAAUUUCUUAUAAUAAUAUAUGUAUUAUAGUAUGUAUAAAAGGUUGAUAUAAAUCGAGUAUAUAAUGAAAUAAAAUUUUAAAUGAAACAAGUUAUAUAUGUAAUAAGUAAAAAAAUGUAAACAUGAAAUCGAUGAUACAUUAGGUGUAUACGUAUAAUAAUAAAAAACUUAAUACAAAUUAUAUAUAAAAUAGUAUUAUAUAAAAAUGUUAUUGACUUUUAAAGCACAAAAGUAUAUAUAAACAUAAAUAUUUAAAAAAAGUAUCAUAAAAAUAAAAUUAUUAAAAAUAUAUAGAUAAUAUUAGAUUAACAUAAAAUAUAUACUAAUAUAUUAGAUAAGAAAAAGAAGCAAAAUCAGUAUUUAAUAAAGUAAUUUACGUAUAUAAAAAAGUAAAUAUACGAACUAAUGUAAUAGUAAUACCAAUAAUAACAAAAGUAAUAGUAAUGAACUAAACAAUUUUAGCAAUAAUAACAAAAAAGAGGACAAAAUUGGCAUUAAAGCAGUAAUUCGGGAGAGAAAUCUAAAAUAAAUAAAAGGAAAGGUCCAAAUUACAAAGCGCGAAUGACAUGGGGGAUUGAAAGGGGAAUAUUCCCCAUCGUCCAAAUCGCAGCGUUUCAUGCGGACUCAAUUAAAACAAAAUAAUAAAAUGUGGGGCAAAAUUUAAAGGAAAUAAAAAGAUCUACUUAAACACGCUAUAAUAAUCAAGGGACCACUUGCGCAAAUCACCCAACAAGGGUCAAAACGCGUGGAUCCUUCCUCGGGUCGGGUCACCACGCGGGUCGUAGGCCUCUAAACGGCGCCGUUUUGAAACCAUUGCCUCGGCAUCAAACGACGUCGGACCACCCCCCAUGUGCCGCUUCAACGUCGGAGUCCCCAACCAUCUGGUUCCGAUCGGAAUUAACGAGGGGCUCGACAGCGGACUUAACCAGGUAUGGGCUCUUCCCCUUUUUUAUUUUGUUACUCAGAUUAUGAAAAACAAAUCCAAAGAAAAAAGAAAAAUAAUAAAGAAGAGGAAAAAGGAAGAUCGGAAUCUGAAAUCACCUCCAAAGUAUGCUAUAUUUGCUAUUUUUUUGAAAGUUUUUUUCUGUAUCCUUGUAUUGAUGUUGUGUCUAGUUACAAAUUCUGGAAAAUGGCUUUAUAGCCGAAGAUAAAACGAAAUAAAAAAUACCACCAAAAUAUAUUUCGCUCUUUUCUAUUUGCUGUUGUUUUAUGUUCGUUUUUUGCUUGUUUGCUUGUGUGCAGGUACGGCCGUAUGGAGCAGGGGGCGUGGAGGCGUGCGUGGCAGCGGCGCUGGAGGCCCGUUGUUGCUGCUAGGGUUUCUGUCAUGUUGGGCUGCGUUGGGCCGUGAUAGUGUCUGGGCUAGAUGUAGUUGGGCUAGGUUGGGCUUGGGGUAGUGUCUGGGCUGUUUUAUUUGUAAAUAGACUUUUAAUAUUUUUUGUUUUUUAUUUUUAUUUAUAAAAUUGGGCCGGGCAAAUUAGGUAUUACAUCAUUAAUGUUCAUUUUUAUCAUCCAUGUUCCAACUAAAAGAUACAUAAAAAUUUAUUUAAUGCUUACGUUCUUCUACUUUAGUGAGUACUCAUUUUUGCAUCCCCUUGUUAUUACAAACUUACCCAUUGAAAGCUCUUAUUGUUUAAUACCUAAGAAGUUUUAUCUUUUAAGUUAUUGGGUUUAACAAUUUUUGGAUUUUGAAUUUUUAAUAUAAAUUUUUAGAUUCUGAAUAAGGACUCGAUAGGUUUUAAAAUUUUAAAAAAUAAUAUUCUAAAUUUAUGGGAAGAAAUAAAAGAUAAAAGUAAAAUUUUAAUUAAAAUAAAACACCAAAGCUAUCAACAGGUGGAGAAGCAACAAUAGGGGCUCCUUGUCUUCAUCUUUUUCUUUGUCACCAUAGAGAUGCAAAAUUGAAAGAUAAUUUUGAUUACUGUAAAUGUAUUUUUCCUUUGAUUAGGUUGUAUUUCAACAUUAAUUAAACUAUGAUUUUAUUGAAAUAGGUGUUUUUAAAAAUUCACCAGAGAGCGUCUUCAAUAAUUGAUUUAGUGUCUCAUUGCAUUAAAUAAUUUUCAUCAAAUCGAGAAUUUAUUGCAAAUGGAAGUGUUUUCCAUUGUUAAAAGAGAUCUCAAUUUUUCAAAAAAAUAAAAGUACCAUGAUUCACACACACAAAAAAGAGAACUUAUUUGCAUGUAAGUUUUGACUUUAAUAAAUUUGGGUUUGAUUUUGUUUUAAUAUAAUAUUAAAUAUUUUAAAUAAUUUUAACAAUUUAUAUUUAUUAUUAACAUUUUUUAAUUUUUUUAGAAUUAUUGUUAAGAAAAAAUUUAAAAAUAAAAACAAUAUUUUAACUAUAGUUUAGGGACCAAAUUAAUAAUUAAACAUUUAAAUUAAUGUUUCAUAUCAUGAAGGUACUAAUUUACAUAUUUCAAAAGAUAUAAAAGCUAAAUUUGUUCAUUUAUCGGUAGAAAGAUUGCAUUCCUUGAUACCUUUAUCAAAGAGUGUCAAUUUUUGUUUUUUUAUUACAUUCAAUUUGAUAUUUUAAUUUAUCAUAAUUCAUUUAUUUUUUAUUUUUAUGAUAUGAUUAAUCCAUCCAAAUAGUUAAAAGUUAGAAGUGCUUAAGUGGAUUUUUCUUUAAAAAUGCACAUUCAAGUAUUUUUUUUAUGUUAGUAUAAUUAAUUAGAAGAUGAUUAAGCUGAAGUGUUUUUUAAUGAAGAUGUAAGUAGUUAAAAAUAUGUAUUUUUGAAUAAUUUUAUUAUAGAUUUUAAUUAUAUCUAUUUUAUUUUUUUUAAAGCCCCUCUUUUAACUCAUAAAUACCAACUCAUAAAUAAGAAAAUAAUCACAUUUUCCUGCAAUCACAUUUUCCUGCAAACAAUCUCUUGGCAUAAUACUCAUGCCUUACAUGGAAUUAAAAUAAAUAAAUUGAUAGAUGAAUAAAAAAUAGAAAUAAGAGACGUAAUAUAUAUUUCUUAUAAACUAAGACCACAUUGUUGAAAGAUAAAUAAAAAGCGUAAUAUAUAUUUCUUAUAAACUAAUUCCAUAUUGAAAAUAAAGAAAUUUGGAUUUUGAAUACAAACAUUAAAAUUAUUGAAUAAAUUUGAAUUUAAAUUGAUUCCAAGUUAGUAAUAUUGUUGGAACUUGGAGAAUGGCAUGCAGAUCCCUAUUCCCUAGUUAUCAUAAAAGAGCAAGUGGAUUUUGAUGUUUACUGGUACAAAUAUAAAAAGAGUUGAUUUGUUGAGUGAGCGAAUCAGAUCAUAAAAAAGAAGAUUGAAGUCAUCUCGGUUUUACAAUCUUCUUGCAUUUUUAUUGACAAAGAAACCAGAAUCUUCUAUGCUAAUAACCAUCCCUUACAAAUUACAAAGCUUAAAACAUAUGAUCUGCGAAUGCAUGCAAAGAGAAACACCAACCAAACAAAGCAUAAAACAUCUCAAACAACCCAACACCCCCCCCCAUUCUUAAAACCCUAAAUUCAAGAUGCUUGCCCUUGAGUCACCUCUUGCGCUUUAUGCUGCACAUACUGUCCGUAUUCCUUAGCCUUCUCUGUCAUAUCCCUAGCCGUACUUGCCAGCUUGUUUCUUGCGUAAUCGAGCUGAUCAGCUCCUGGUGGGUGUUUCCCUUGCACGUAAUUGUAUAUCCACGACAACGCCGUUAAUGCCGCCACUCCACACCCGCCCGAAAACAAGAACCCCGUCGUCACCAAGAAUAUGGUUAUCCCGGCCGGGACUAGAACCGGGCUGAAGAUAACCAUCAACGGCGUAGCUAUUAUCAAGGCAAUGACCGUCCCGGUCAAGGUUAACCCAGACAAGAAAAGCAGCGUUGUGCCCAACGUCGAGGCGGUCAAGAACUUAGCCACCUGGCGAGACGACGGAGCUGAGUCGUAGAGCUUUUGAGCCAUGGGUCUGUUUUGAUCGUUGAUCGGCAUGAUUAUGAUGAUGGUAAGAGAAAAGAAGAAAAAAUGGGAGAAAAGAAAAGAAGAGUGAAGAAGAUGAGAGAGAUAUGGGGGAAAGGGGUGAUAUAAGGAAGUGAGAAAGGGGGGGUACGUGGCGGAGGGUGGGGGUGACAUUGAAAUGUGUGUAGGGGGUGAGGGUAUCAAAUGUCUAGAACAGAGUGUUAAGGGUGGUGGGCGUGGUGGCGUUGUGGCGCGUGUUCGGUUUAGCUGCUUUGCAUGGUUGUGGGAUUACCAGGGGGUGACGCGUGGUUAAUAAAGGCCGCUCUGUUCUAGUAACGCUUCCUUUCCCUUCUCAAACAGCAAUAGAGCUAAGGGCGCAAAAAAUCAUGUUGAAGGUCAGUUCAUACAUUCGGAUCUUUUAUUAGCAAGAUUAGAUUUGACACAUUCCACUAAAAUCAGGCUAAUUUGACAAUUAAUAGAAGUGGAUACACCAAUCCAAGUCGGUCGAAAACUUCGAUUGCUCCCACAAUUGUUCGGUUCAUCUAACAGCUUUCCGUUGGGCUAGGUGUUCUUCGUUAUUCUCACCUUUUGUGGUCUUUUAUAUUGUUAAAUCGUUUCUUCGAAUUUCUUUGUCGCUUAUAUUUAGCUUUUAUUUACCAAAUAAACCAUAAUUCAAUUAAUAACAUUACGGCGCAUGCAUUUCAGUGAAUAAUACCUUCCGCUUUAAAAAUUAAAGAUUAGACCUGAAAAUUUAUCUUCAAACCUAAUCCAUUUUGAUUUGAAUAUAAAAUGCAAACAACUUCAAACCGGAGAAAUUGGGAGCUAGGAUAGGAUAGCUGAUGCUUUUCAAAUUCAGUUGUAACCCUUGAACAGUAGAGAGGGAAAACACUGCUUCCAAACGGUGAGUUUUAGUAUUAAGUAGUAUGCGUUUUAUAUUAAGUAGUAUGAAACCAAUUUCUUCUAUAAUUAAUAAUUCUUAAUCAUUCUUAAAAUUUGUUAAAGUUGCUUUUUAUCUUCAAUUUUUUCAGGAUUUUUUUUUUAUUUUUACUAUAAUAUGAUCUUGCAAUUUAAGACCAUCUGCAGAUAAUUUUAAUCCUAAGAAUUCUAUUUCUGUUUUUUCUAGCUCUAUUUUCUUAGGACUUAGUAUAAUUCCAUGUUUUAUGAAUUCUUGAGAAAUGAUACUUAAAUAGUUUCUAUGUAAUUCUAAUGUAUCUGAAAAUAUUAACAUACCAUCUAUAUAAACUACACAAAAUUUUUUAUAUUUAUUAAAUAUAUAGUCCGUCCAUCUUUAAAAGAUUUGUGGUGCAUUACAUAAUCCAAAUGACAUUGCUUUCCAUUGAUAAUGUCCAUUAGGUGUACUCAAAGCUGUCAAAGGCUUGAACUCUUCUGUUAGCAUGAUUUGCCAGAAUCCUAAUUUACAAUCAAAUUUACUAAAAUAUUUUGCUUGUUUAGCUUGAUUAAUUAAAACAUCAUUUCUUGGAAUAAAAUAACCAUAAAAAAUAAUAUUUUAAUUUAAUCUUUUAUAAUUAAUAACCAUUCUAGCUUUUCCUCUUUUUAUUUCGGCAUGAUUUCUAACCAUGAAGGCUGGACUAGAAUAUGGACUAUUAGUUGUUUUUAUUAAUCCUUUUUCUAAUAAUUCUUUUAAUUUGUAUAUCAAAUUCAUCUAUGUCUUGUUUAGCAUAGAUCACUGGUUUAACUCUAAUAAUUUUAUUGGGAUUUUCUAAUUUAAUUUCACAAUAUCUAGGGUUAUUUUGCCAUAAUUUUAAUGGUUUUUUACUAUAAUUAUUUUCUAAUAUUUUAAACAACCAAUGACUUGUUUCAAGUUGUUUAAUUUGUUCUUUUCUUGGUGGUGUAAAGUUUUUAUCACAAACAAAUUUAUGAUUUUCUACCAAUGGUAUUUCUACAGAAUUUUUUUCUACAGAUAACAUAAUUAAAUUUUUAUCAAUAUAAAAUGGUAAAUGUUGAUAUAUAAAACUAAUCUCCAUGCAUUGUUGGAAAGCAUAAUAUUUUAGGUAUCACAAAUCUUACAUUAUUUAUGUAGAUUGAUUUAUUUCUAGCUUUAUAUUGAAUUUUGGUUUCAUUACCAUCUAUUCCUAUGACUUUUAUUAGAUGUUUCAUAGGUUCUCAUUUUUCUAAAGGAAUGACAUUCUUUCUACAACUGCUAGUUGUAGCUCCAGUAUCUAAUAAAGCCUGUAAAGAAUAUGUUUUAUAUGUCGAUGAUAUUUUGCUUGCCGCUAAUGAUAUAGGUUUAUUGCACGAAACUAAAAGGUUUCUGUCUAAGCAUUUUGAGAUGAAAGAUCUUAGGGACGCCUAUUUUGUUUUAGGAAUUUAGAUACACCGAUACUGAUCUUGGGGUAUUCUUGGAUUGUCACAAAAAAGCUAUAUCGAUAAAGUGCUCAAAAGGUGUGGCGUGCAAACUUGUAGACUAGGUGACACCCAUGUCGCUAAAGGAGACAAAUUUAGUCUUACUCAAUGCCCUAAAAGUAACCUUGAAAUUCAGGAAAUGCAAAAGAUUCCCCAUGCAUCACCUGUUGGGAGUUUAAUGUAUGCUCAAGUAUGUACGUGUCCGAAUAUUGUGUACAUUGUUGGGAUGUUAGGCAGAUAUUUAAGCAACCUUAGUAUAGACCAUUGGAUAACAGCUAAAAGGGUUAUGAGAUAUCUUCAG
This 8126-nucleotide long non-coding RNA is filed under the name Gossypium raimondii (Peruvian cotton). RNAcentral's name for it is "long non-coding RNA (GRAI_LNC008164)". The record is from RNAcentral. Lineage: Eukaryota; Viridiplantae; Streptophyta; Magnoliopsida; Malvales; Malvaceae.